RNAcentral lists this ribosomal RNA (449 nucleotides) under uncultured bacterium. Its description in RNAcentral is "partial 16S ribosomal RNA". It matches the Rfam family "Bacterial small subunit ribosomal RNA", at positions 29 to 523 of the family's 1533-position model. The record is from RNAcentral.
AACGAACGCUGGCAGCAUGCCCAACACAUGCAAGUCGAACGAGAUCUUCGGGUCUAGUGGCGCACGGGUGCGUAACGCGUGGGAAUCUGCCCUUUGGUUCGGAAUAACAGUUGGAAACGACUGCUAAUACCGGAUGAUGACGAAAGUCCAAAGAUUUAUCGCCAGAGGAUGAGCCCGCGUAGGAUUAGCUAGUUGGUGUGGUAAAGGCGCACCAAGGCGACGAUCCUUAGCUGGCCUGAGAGGAUGAUCAGCCACACUGGGACUGAGACACGGCCCAGACUCCUACGGGAGGCAGCAGUGGGGAAUAUUGGACAAUGGGCGAAAGCCUGAUCCAGCAAUGCCGCGUGAGUGAUGAAGGCCUUAGGGUUGUAAAGCUCUUUUACCCGGGAUGAUAAUGACAGUACCGGGAGAAUAAGCUCCGGCUAACUCCGUGCCAGCCGCCGCGGUAA